This 550-nucleotide ribosomal RNA is filed under the name uncultured bacterium. RNAcentral describes it as "bacterial SSU rRNA". It matches the Rfam family "Bacterial small subunit ribosomal RNA", at positions 28 to 616 of the family's 1533-position model. The record is from RNAcentral.
AACGAACGCUGGCGGCACGCCUAACACAUGCAAGUCGAACGAGAAGCACCUUCGGGUGUGGAAAGUGGCGGACGGGUGAGUAACACGUGGGAACAUGCCUUUUGGUACGGAACAACCAUUGGAAACGAUGGCUAAUACCGUAUAAGCCCUUAGGGGGAAAGAUUUAUCGCCGAAAGAUUGGCCCGCGCUAGAUUAGUUAGUUGGUGAGGUAAAAGCUCACCAAGGCGACGAUCUAUAGCUGGUUUGAGAGGAUGAUCAGCCACACUGGGACUGAGACACGGCCCAGACUCCUACGGGAGGCAGCAGUGGGGAAUAUUGGACAAUGGGGGCAACCCUGAUCCAGCGAUGCCGCGUGAGUGAUGAAGGCCUUAGGGUUGUAAAACUCUUUCAGGGGUGAAGAUAAUGACGGUAACCCCAGAAGAAGCUCCGGCUAACUCCGUGCCAGCAGCCGCGGUAAUACGGAGGGAGCUAGCGUUGUUCGGAAUUACUGGGCGUAAAGCGCGCGUAGGCGGCUUGGCAAGUAGAGGGUGAAAUCCCAGGGCUUAACCCU